GACGAAGGAUGCAAGCGUUAUCCGGAUUCAUUGGGUUUAAAGGGAGCGUAGGUGGCCUUAUAAGUCAGUGGUGAAAUCUCGAGGCUUAACCUCGAAAUUGCCAUUGAUACUGUAGGGCUUGAGUAUAGUUGCCGUUGGCGGAAUAUGACAUGUAGUGGUGAAAUACAUAGAGAUGUCAUAGAACACCGAUUGCGAAGGCAGCUAACGAAACUAUAACUGACACUGAGGCUCGAAAAGUGCGGGGAUCAAACAGG
RNAcentral lists this ribosomal RNA (254 nucleotides) under uncultured bacterium. RNAcentral describes it as "partial 16S ribosomal RNA". It matches the Rfam family "Bacterial small subunit ribosomal RNA", at positions 524 to 776 of the family's 1533-position model. The record is from RNAcentral.